Long non-coding RNA from Eucalyptus grandis, 1492 nucleotides. RefSeq lists it as uncharacterized. Lineage: Eukaryota; Viridiplantae; Streptophyta; Magnoliopsida; Myrtales; Myrtaceae. The transcript has 4 exons. The record is from RefSeq and is a predicted model, not a curated record.
UCUCUCUCUCUCUCUCUCUCUCAGAGUUCAAUGGUGCUGCCACUGAGCCUCAUAUGCCACCAAGCAUAACAUAAAUCUUCGUCAUUUCUCUUGUUUCCUGUUGUGCUGCGUUUUAAAGGCCAUGACUCCACAUCCAAGUUCUCUUGACUCAGUUAUGAUAAGGGUAAAACUGUGGUUCCUGGAUCCUGGAAGCAGCGAUUUUUUUUCUUACUAUAACAUUUGCAUUACUCGCCUGCUGUCAGGUUUUCUUAGGCAAAGUGAAGGUCUUGAGGCGAAAGGUAAUGAGUUGCCACGUUUGAUCUAUGUUUCUUGUGAAAAACGUCUGGGCUUCCAACAUCACAAGAAAGCUGGUGACAUGAAUGCUCUUGUGAGAGUCUCAGCUGUCCUCACUAAUGGACCUUUCUUGUUGAAUCUUGAUUGUGAUCACUACAUAAGCAACAGUAAGGCAUUGAGAGAAGCCAUGUAUUUCUUGAUGGAUCAUAACCUUAGGAAACAUGUGUGUCACGUUCAAUUUCCAAAGAGAUGUGACGGUGUUGACAGAAAUGACAGAUGCACCAAUCGCGAUAUUGUGUUCUUUGGUUUAAGCUUUUUGUCUCUUCAUUAAAAUACAUUUUAUUAUGUUAUGUCCAAGAUUGCUACUUGCACUGACAUCAGAAUCACAUCCUCCAUCAAAGCAAGUUCUUUUGUUGUGGACUAAGAUUAAAACACUCUUCAGCUUCCUUGCAUAUUCAUUAGAUGGACAUUCUAUCUUAUGAUCUGGACAAGCUUAAGAGGUUUAAAUGGCAUCCAAGGUCCUGUUUAUGUUGGAACUGGGCGUAUGUUCAAUGGAACAGCCUUAUAUGGUUUGAAGCUCUUCCUUAUAUGGUUAUGAAGCUCCUCACAAGCCAAAGCAUAGAAAGUGAGGAUUCCUGUCUUCUCUCUGUGGUGGAUCACGAAAGAAAGCAAGAUGAAGUAAACUCUGACAAUAAGUGGCAAACAUGUAGUUCCAACUGUGCCUAUCUUCAGCCUGCAAGAUAUAGAAGAGGGAGUGGAAGGAGCUGGAUUUUAUGAUGAAAAGUCAUUGCUUGUGUCGCAAAUGAGCCUGGAGAAGAGGUUUGGUCAGUCUACUGUCUUUGUGGCCUGUAAAUUUAUGGAGAAUGGUGGCGUUCCUCAAUCUACAACUCCAGAAACCCUUCUUAAAGAGGCUAUUCAAGUCAUCAGUUGGGGUUAUGAGGAUGAAACAGACUGGGAAGUGAGGUAUGUGAGCUUAUUCUAAUAUUUAUUCCAUUAGAGUGUUUGUUGUUUAAGAGAAAAAGAUACAUGAGUCAUGGGCUAGCAGAUCCUUGACCACAUAAUAAGCCAUGCGGUGUCUAUCAAGUCAAGAAGACGUCAAGCUAGCCUUCAUUCUAUAACUGUUCCUAAGAACAGUACGAUGAAUAGCAUCCUUGUAUUAUGCCACACUACGACCAGCUUUGCUCGAGCAUUCAAACCCUUGAGCAAGAUGCGUGAAACA